UGUAGAUUAGAAUGCAAAGACGCAGACUGGUGAUUGAGUGGUCUCUGGGUAACCCCCUGCAGCCCAGUGGGAUUUUAACUAGGAGUAAAGUGGAGGGGCAUUUUCACCAGACACCAGACACGAGUAAGAAAUGGAGGACCAGUGGAGAGCCACUCACCUCUCACCCAGAGCGGCUGAUGCUCUGCCAUGCAGUGAGGAAGCCAACUUUGGGAUUUGUCCUCAGUGCCUGUGGGGUUGGUGUGCAGAAGCUCAAGUCUCUUGUGCAAAUGCUCGAUAUUUACAUCGUGCCUGUGGUCACCCUGGGUCAUGCUGCUCCUGUAGGGUGCGUGGCGAGAGUGAGUCUCGGGGAGUAGUGGACAGGCCAGGCUGCUCGUAGGAGGCUUUUCUGCAGCUGGAUUUGGUGUGUGGUUGGUUGACUGCAGGUGUGGAAGCCACAGCACA
Molecule: long non-coding RNA, 441 nt
Filed under: Rattus norvegicus (Norway rat)
Lineage: Eukaryota; Metazoa; Chordata; Mammalia; Rodentia; Muridae
Description: long non-coding RNA NONRATT028186
Source: RNAcentral